Molecule: unclassified non-coding RNA, 656 nt
Filed under: Hevea brasiliensis (rubber tree)
Lineage: Eukaryota; Viridiplantae; Streptophyta; Magnoliopsida; Malpighiales; Euphorbiaceae
Source: RNAcentral
AUUUUGUGUUCCUUGGUGUAAGCAUUGUAAGAACUUGGGCUCAUUGUGGGAAGACCUAGGGAAAGCGAUGGAAGGGGAAGAUGAGAUAGAAGUUGGAGAAGUUGAUUGUGGUACAAGCAAACCUGUAUGUACGAAAGUUGAUAUUCACUCAUAUCCUACAUUUAAGCUUUUCUAUGAUGGAGAAGAAGUUGCUAAAUAUCAAGGGCCAAGGAAUGUUGAAUCUCUUAAAUCAUUCAUUUUCGAUGAAGCGGGAAAAGCAGCAGCGAAAGCACAGCUUGACAGUGAUCAAGAUUUGUGAUCGUCAGUAAGUUGAGGGACUGUAGAUGGAAGCUGAAGUGAUGGUGAAAGUGUCGCAAUGAAAUCAACAUCGUUUUACUAAACAGCCCAGCUUAGAUCCCCCGGGGGAUCAUAAGCUAAUUUUAUUGACUCGUCUUUUUCUUAUCCAUCCUGUGAUCGGAGUUUGUUUUAAUCUGCUUUAGAAGGGCACUAAUUUAGUAAUUUUGCAUUCUAGGGCAUUUGAUCUGUUACAAAAUUGUAUCAUCCUCCUACACAAGGAAUUUCAAUUGAAAGUUUGACAGUUCAUAGUUCUUAGAUUCAAUCAUGUGAAUUUAGGUUGUCUCCUCGUGGCUCCACCUACGAUUUACAAAAUUUUGGGC